UCUUCCAUAGGUUAGUGUAGAUAAACCGUCGAUUUGUGGGGUCGAAGAGUCUGGUUUGAUGGGGGAA
RNAcentral lists this transfer RNA (67 nucleotides) under Clonorchis sinensis. Its description in RNAcentral is "tRNA-His". Lineage: Eukaryota; Metazoa; Platyhelminthes; Trematoda; Opisthorchiida; Opisthorchiidae. The record is from RNAcentral.